AGAGAACGUUAACUUAAAAAUACCCAAAAUACCUACCUUAAAUGCAAAUAAUUAUUCAGGUCCAUUUCCUCUUCAGAGAUCGCCAACGGAGUAUAAUGCCAUUUAACCAAUCAGAGUUGAGCUUUGCCAUAUUCAAAUUCAUAUCUUCCGGUGAUGCGAAAACGUCAGACUACUGAGCUGUUCCUAACGUGUGUAGCAUAAGUGUAGUGUGCUAUAGCUGAGAGGAAGCUAAAAAAUAAUGGUAUUUCCCAAAUUCGGGCUGUUUUAUUUCCCCGAUACAAAGUUGGUGAGAGUGGACAGUACGAACAUAAUAAGAUGCGAACACGGGAGGGAAGAAUAUAGCCUCUCGACAGCAACUUGAUAGUGAAGAUGGCUAUGUUGAAGUGUGUUUGCCUAGUCGCAGCAGACACGGAGAAGCUAAGACACUGGCGGCAAAAAUACUCUUUCUUGGAGAGAACUUUAAGGAAGUUGCAGAAAAAAACAGCUUUCCUCAGAAAUGAAGACAUCUGGCACAGCAGCAGCACCACAGCAGCUGUGAGGAGAGUCUGCAGAGUGUACAGUGACACAAGAUGAAGACAGACCGAAGAAAAAGAAAAAACAUGUGACAGGACGUCACAUAAUUUCUUCAGACAAUGAUGAGACUGACAUAGAUUCAGCACAAGCCUUUGGAACGAAGAAACCAAAAAUGAUGAAGGCUGCAAAUGAGAGGGUUCUUUCGCAGCUUAAGUCUUCUCUGCUGAAAAAAGGCAAAGGACAUCCACCCCCUCACAAAGUGAGGAAGAUGAUGUAGACAUAGACACCAAUAUAGACCUUUUUGAUUCACCCCAAGCUUCUGGAACAGCUGACCCCUGCUUUAGGCAAAAGGAAAUGGAGUGUGGCCCGAUGAAUCAGGCACUAGAAAACAUAGACAGGCACCAGGAAGUGAUAGAUGCAUUAAAAGAAAUACCCACCCUUAUCAAUUGUGUUAAGGAACUAACAACCACUAUGAAGCGUUUGCUACCUUCCUUCGACAGUGAUACAAGUUCAGGGUCCUCCAGUCCUGCUCCAGAAAUGGUUUCCUUGGGCAACUCAGCAGUUAUGGUGAACUGAAGAUGUUUUAAAAGAUUGAACAGAACAAGGAUGUCCCUUUUUGCCCAGGAUUUAGCUGUUCUACUCUUUGGUCGCAACAUUUUAGCUUCCUCAAGCCUUACAGGCAAUGGAACGGAAAAGGAUCCCUUAGAUUCUGAAAAGUUGAAUGCUCUUGUUGAUACAGUAAUAUCUGAGUUCCCAGGAACAAGUGUGUCUGAAGUGAGAGCUGUCAUAAGACGAAAGGGCAACAAUGAAAAUUUUGUUUCAAAGAAGAAGAUGUAGGUUUGAUUGUGAUUUUGUGUUUUGUUUUCACUCACACACACACACACACGUGUGUGCAAGGGCAGUGUGCACCAGGGUUUACAUGGAUGUUAGGCAUGUUACUUUAGGCUGUAAGUUGCAUAAUUUUAUUUAUUUAAUUAUUUAUUUUACAUGUUUCUACCUCAAAUAAAUGUUUGAAAUGGUUUGAUUUUGCCAAUGAAUGCAAGAAAAACUUGAUAUAUUUUUGAAAAUAUCUAUAUAUUUUUGUUUGCCCAUUAUUUUCCAACUAAUGGGCCUUGCCAAAUUUUCCCUUUGUCAUUUGCUGUUGUUCUUUAGUCAGUAGAGGCACAAUGAAAGUGUGUAAGAUCAUUUUGAUUGUGUUCAUUAGCGAUUGUUAAAGAAUUUACUGAAGUAAGAGUUUAAGAAUGUUUUAAACAGUCUAAAGGUUUUUCUGUUUAGUGAUAAAUAUACUUAAAACAUGCUGUUUUGUUACACUGAUAAAGCAUUUAGUUU
Long non-coding RNA from Brienomyrus brachyistius, 1842 nucleotides. RefSeq lists it as uncharacterized. The record is from RefSeq and is a predicted model, not a curated record. The transcript is spliced from 8 exons. Lineage: Eukaryota; Metazoa; Chordata; Actinopteri; Osteoglossiformes; Mormyridae.